AACGAACGCUGGCGGCGCGCCUAACACAUGCAAGUCGAACGAGAAGGCGUAGCAAUACGCUUGUAAAGUGGCGAACGGGUGAGGAACACGUGGGUAACCUACCCUCGAGUGGGGAAUAGCCAACCGAAAGGUUGGCUAAUGCCGCGUACGCUUCCAUCUCUUUGGAGGUGGAAGGAAAGCUGUACCGUGGGUACAGCGCUCAAGGAUGGGCUCACGUCCUAUCAGCUUGUUGGUAGGGAACGGCC
This 245-nucleotide ribosomal RNA is filed under the name uncultured bacterium. RNAcentral's name for it is "partial 16S ribosomal RNA". It matches the Rfam family "Bacterial small subunit ribosomal RNA", at positions 29 to 265 of the family's 1533-position model. The record is from RNAcentral.